Long non-coding RNA from Polyodon spathula (Mississippi paddlefish), 1486 nucleotides. RefSeq lists it as uncharacterized. The record is from RefSeq and is a predicted model, not a curated record. Lineage: Eukaryota; Metazoa; Chordata; Actinopteri; Acipenseriformes; Polyodontidae. The transcript has 3 exons.
GGGAGAUAAGAGAAUAGAAAAGUAUUCUGAAAUGCUAUGUCAUGAAAUAAUAUUUUGAUUAUAUUUGUACAGUAAUACUGUGUGGCGAAUACUGUACUGGGUCGGAACACUACGUUGCCUAGAAAUUCAGUGACGACGGAGAAUAUCAUGUUAUUGAUCAGAUCUUGUUUUUUCUCAUUUAGCACAGUUUAAAGGUUGCUUCUGUCGUUUUUUUUUCUUCUACAGUGUUAUGUUGUUCUCAGUGGUGUUUUGAUGUGUAUGGUUUCCACACUGUGCAGCUUCGAACAGUGUUCCGGGCGGUGUUCUGGAUGCAGCUGGUUUUUGUCCGGAAUGGGAAAGGCAGUAGAAAUGGUCAUCCAUAAACUGAAGUUAAUGAAAUUCCCUGGUGAUGUUAAUAAUAAAAAGCUCAUCAGCAGCAGUAGCAGCAGCCCCCGGUGCAUCAGCCACCAAUCCCAAGCAGACACGUCUUCCCGCGCUCGACCCCUGAAGUUGCAACACCUCGUCCCUUGAUUCUGCCAAUACUCUUGCAACUCUGGCGUCCUUGAACACCUGUUGCACGGAACUGUGGACCCUGAGCCAGAACCUUCCUGAACGUGGUUACAGCUGACCCAGGGUCGUUACACAAUAUUCAUAUUUUAGGCAGAAAUGACAAAGGCACUCAUUUGGAUAUAAAACAGUCAAAUAUGAACGUAAAAUGCAGAGUGCUGCAGGCUUGUGCAGAGUAAACCCUGUAAAUGCAUGUAUCAUUAUAACACUGACUCAGGUGCUGUGAGAAGUGUCUCCUGCCCAAUAAAAUAAAAACGAUGACCGUGUCAAAGGACUUGAACUUUCUUUAUUUUACUAUCCACUGUUUUUACUCACAUCACUUUUGAACAUAACCUUUUUUAGAAGCUUUAAAUUGCUACACAGUUCUUUUUGCUUACAAGUACCAGUGAAGCCCAUUUUGUUUCCUGUGUGUGGGCAACUGUGAACAGGAAAGAAGAAAUCUGAGCUGACAAAGACACUCAACUUGAUAUAAAACAGUCAAAUACAAACGUAAAAUGCAAAGUGCUGCAGGCUUGUGCAGAGUAGCGUGAUCCGCUUCUGUGAUUUUAAAGGGAGUUUGAGCUGGGCCCGGGUGCAGACCGGGUAGUGCUGGCUAAUCAAGUGGGAGACAAAAAGGCAGCAAAUCAGGAGAAACUGACUUUCCAAAAAGUCAGCUGUAGCUGUAGCACUAGAGCUUGCGUUUGCUGUGGUUUUGAUGAAGACUUUUUCUUUUACCACACCUCCAUUUCUUAACCCAGUAUUUUGAAACAAUUAGAUUGAAUCGUUUUUGCUAUGUGACCGCAGUGUUUUGCUAUAUUCACAAACAUUCAUUAUUAGUAGUAUUGCUCAUAGUGCAGCGCUAUUGCAGUCACUCAAAAACUGCAGCAUUCUCUGAACAACUGCAGAUCUGCAAAGUCCCAAACACUUACUCAAAAUGAAAAUGAAAGUUCCUUUAUCAGUU